Molecule: long non-coding RNA, 1102 nt
Filed under: Homo sapiens (human)
Lineage: Eukaryota; Metazoa; Chordata; Mammalia; Primates; Hominidae
Description: HSALNT0007536
Source: RNAcentral
AAUAAAUAGGACUAAUUUUCUUAAUAUAUAAUGUGUUCUUAUAACUCAGUAGAAAAAUUGGCAAAGAAUAUGAACAUCUGUUCUUGAAGAAAGGAGAAAAAGAGCAAGAGAAUGGAUCUCAGCCAUAGAAGCAUUUAGGAGGGAGCAGUGUUUACCUGGCGUCCACCUUUGUUGAUAGUGUUUUUGUGUAAUUAUCAAGGUAGAAAUUCAAACCAUAGUAGAACAGAAACAAUCCCAUUCGUCACAUCUGACCACGAAGGGAUUCAUCAGUUGCUUAGUGGGAGAAGAAUAGGAAAUUCAUACCAGAAUCCUAUUUCACAGUUUAUAAUUGGUUAUAUAAAAUUAGGCCUAAGCUAACUGCAUAACAAAACAUACCAGGAGGGGAAAUGAAAUGGCAUCAAGAAUGAAAAGGAUGCUGACAAAGGGACUUCAAUUCCAUCUCGUCCUCUAGCUGUACUACUCAGCGGCAGGCACUAAGGCAGAAGGAUAAAUAAGACAUGGUCCCUGCCAUCAAAGUAGUCAUGGUCUGAUGGGAAGAAAGGCCUACAAAAACAGUCACGUGGCAGUGCACAGGACACAGUGCUCACCCUCCAUAAGCACAGACCUUUCUGCUGGUGCAGACCCGGAGCCAGCUUCUCAGCAUGCACAGCAGAAUGUGCACUACAGCAGCACCCUGCCCUAGGACCAUGGGAGCACAGGAGAAGGGGCAAUUAACACUCAGUUUUUCAUCUUUGAACCACAGUCACUCUCUGAAAUUACAUCUUAGGGCCUUAGGGCUAUUUUCACUGCAUGGCACUGUUGGGUGACUCAUCAUAAAUUUAGAGCUGGAGAAGAAUGCUGAGAUUAUUAUAAUGCAAUCCCUCAUGUUAUAGGUGGGAAAACAGGCCUAAAGAGGUAAGGUCACAGGUAGGAAGAAGUAGAAACUGCUUCUGCACCCAGAUCUCUUGACUUCCAUGUCUUGCUAAUUUUCAGCAGUUAUGAGAUACCCAAAUCUUUUUCCUGUUUUGAUUCUCCCUACCUCCUUUCAUACUAUACAGUUUCAUUCAACUAGGUGUAAUAAUGGAAGACAAGGACUCUGAAUAAAUAUGAAACUUCUCCGUGG